GCCCACAUGGCGAAAUGGUUAACGCGUCAGACUUUUAAAUAAAGUAAUCUGAAUAUUGCGAGUUCGAGUCUCGCUGUGGGCG
Apodospora peruviana is the source of this 82-nucleotide non-coding RNA. NCBI's taxonomy places the organism in Eukaryota, Fungi, Ascomycota, Sordariomycetes, Sordariales, Lasiosphaeriaceae. The record is from the annotation of a GenBank genome assembly.